CCUCUGGUAGCUCAGUUGGUAGAGCGGUGGACUGUAGAUCCAUAGCUCGCUGGUUCAAAUCCGGCCCAGAGGA
RNAcentral lists this transfer RNA (73 nucleotides) under Schistocerca americana (American grasshopper). RNAcentral's name for it is "tRNA-Tyr". It matches the Rfam family "tRNA". Rfam says of the family: Transfer RNA (tRNA) molecules are approximately 80 nucleotides in length. Their secondary structure includes four short double-helical elements and three loops (D, anti-codon, and T loops). Further hydrogen bonds mediate the characteristic L-shaped molecular structure. tRNAs have two regions of fundamental functional importance: the anti-codon, which is responsible for specific mRNA codon recognition, and the 3' end, to which the tRNAs corresponding amino acid is attached (by aminoacyl-tRNA synthetases). tRNAs cope with the degeneracy of the genetic code in two manners: having more than one tRNA (with a specific anti-codon) for a particular amino acid; and 'wobble' base-pairing, i.e. permitting non-standard base-pairing at the 3rd anti-codon position. The record is from RNAcentral. Lineage: Eukaryota; Metazoa; Arthropoda; Insecta; Orthoptera; Acrididae.